AGAGUUUGAUCCUGGCUCAGAACGAACGCUGGCGGCAGGCCUAACACAUGCAAGUCGAGCGCCCGCCAGGGAGCGGCAGACGGGUGAGUAACGCGUGGGAACCUACCUAGUGGUGCGGAACAACCAAGGGACACUUUGGCUAAUGCCGCAUGAGCCCCAACGGGGAAAGAUUUAUCGCCAUUAGAUGGGUCCGCGUCGGAUUAGCUAGUUGGUGGGGUAAAGGCCUACCAAGGCGACGAUCCUUAGCUGGUCUGAGAGGAUGAUCAGCCACACUGGGACUGAGACACGGCCCAGACUCCUACGGGAGGGAGCAGGGGGGAAGAUUGGACAAUGGGCGAAAGCCUGAUCCAGCAAUGCCGCGUGGGUGACGGAGGCCUUCGGGUCGUAAAGCCCUUUUGCAGGUGAAGAGGAAGGACGGUAGCCUGCGAAGAAGUGUCGGCUAACUACGUGCCAGCAGCCGCGGUAAUAC
This 469-nucleotide ribosomal RNA is filed under the name uncultured bacterium. Its description in RNAcentral is "bacterial SSU rRNA". It matches the Rfam family "Bacterial small subunit ribosomal RNA", at positions 8 to 526 of the family's 1533-position model. The record is from RNAcentral.